Molecule: non-coding RNA, 1520 nt
Organism: Punica granatum (pomegranate)
Lineage: Eukaryota; Viridiplantae; Streptophyta; Magnoliopsida; Myrtales; Lythraceae
Source: RefSeq, a predicted model, not a curated record
AGCUUGUCUUCCUUGAGAUUUUGGUUGAGAGGUUUAGGAAGACACUGACACCGUCGCUCAGAAGGUGUGACUGGGAGGAAAUAGACGCAGAGUUGGCGAAUAAGCUUCAUAUUAGAUUGGGUGUUGAGAGGUUUGAAGGAGGUAGACUGACUGAAGCAAAAGUAUUAUGCAUGCCUUUACAACGUUGCUUCAACGUACUGGUAUAGGCUGGGAUUCAGCGAGCAACACCUUUACGGCUCCUGAUCAUGUAUGGACUGCUUUCUGUCAGAGGGGUAAGGUAUAUAGCAGGUUAAGGUCAAAAAGGGUGCGAGAACUACGCGUUACCUGACAAGCUCUUUGGCAAAACCAGUGCCACAGGUGCUUUUCGACAUGCAUCAACUGAAGCAACGCUAACAUCCUCUGAGGAACCACUAUUUUGCUCUCUCUCUCUCUCUCUCUUCAUAAAAUGUUUUCCGCUUGCAUUUUUUUUUUUUGGGUAGAAAAUAUCUUGCACUUGUUAACUAAGUUCUAGGUCUUUCCUAUUAACCAAGUUCUAAUGAUGCAGUUCUGUGAGAUCACUUGCUGAUUACGAGGCAUCUUAGGAUUCUACAUUGAAAGUCCAAUUUGAAAAUGUUUACUUAGUGAACCAUAACAUGACUAUAUCGUUUGACACUCAUUCCCUUUAUUUGUCGUAGAAAGGUGAUGACUAUUUUCCAUUGCCUCAGGUAAAAUAGUUCCUCAAUUAGGGCUCGGGUGAAAGCACUCGACUAAAUAUGCACUUCUUGAUUGAGAGUUUUAGUAUUUUCGCAGAACAAGUUACGCGCUUGAAAUGUUUUGGAAAUGUGGUUUCAGUUAUGCCCUUUUUUAAUCAAAUUUCUUCUAAAGGGGUUUAUGAAUUCAUGAUAAAUUUAAUUUUGUCCAGAGUAGUUCUUGAAGUGUCAAACUUAGGGAGAACGGACGGGAUGAAGCAGAAGCUGCAUGUAACACCCUUUGAGGGAAGGAAAAGGCGGCACCGGUGGAAUGCAUACAGAAAUAGAAGAAAUAGAAGAAACCAAAGCAUUUAUACAGCGUAAAGCAUGAUGGCUCUAUCAUGUGGUGGCUGCUUCUCAGUAGGAUGACGAUCUGGAGGUGAUACUGGAGGAACCGCUGCAUGGUGAACAUCCGCGUGUCGCCGCAAGGCUCAUCUUGAGUUGUAGGUCAUUGGGUGAGCUUCGGGCGAGCAACUUUAUCUGAUCAAGGGCCGAGGUACAGGGGAACUGCUGCUAGCAGAGCUUAUUAGCAGUGAAGUUUUGCAUAUAUAUAAUGGUUGUUAUGUUAUAUACAACUUUGUGGAUGUCAAUGUUGCAAUCACUCGUGGAUGAGCCGAAUUCGACAGGCCGGCAGCCAUUCGAUUGGCUGUAUUGAAUCCUUGUCCCCCUGAAUUGACAAAAUUCGGAAAAGCAUUAUUAGGAGGUGUUAUUGUAGUAGGGUGGUUGUCCCUAGUCCAUUUUUGUAUCCUCUCGGUUCUAUUCCAUCCCUUCGGCUCUUUUCCCAUUCCUCUC